Molecule: long non-coding RNA, 1834 nt
Organism: Rosa chinensis
Lineage: Eukaryota; Viridiplantae; Streptophyta; Magnoliopsida; Rosales; Rosaceae
Exons: 3
Source: RefSeq, a predicted model, not a curated record
AUUCAAUUCAAUCCUCUGGUUCGAGUAGCUUUUCAUUUCCAUUCCCAAUUCUGCAAAUUCUGGACAAUUGGUCUCCGAUUCAAUCAGUUUCUAUGUCUCUCUCACGCGCAAAGCCUAAUUCGAGGUCCAAUCGGAUCGCUGGGAUUGACAGUUCCUGGUUUUCUACCAAGAGAAUUGGUAUAGCUCCUGGUUUGGUUCUGUUCCUAUUCGAUUUGUGUUCCUUUAUUGAUUUGAUGGGAAUCUGAUGAUGAACUGUGUGUCCGUACAUGUUCGUUGUGCCCCGAUCUGAAGUAGAUUCGGGGUGUUGAAUUCAGGGUCCAGUCAGAAUGAAGACGGAAAGAAAAUUAUCACAAACUUUGUCCAGGAAGGAGUUAACAAUCUAUCAGCCCUCAUGGUUUGGCAGAAACAAUCCACAAGAGUACUCUAUUUUUCUAAUAGACCAUUUCUUAGUUUUAUCUCGGUGGCUGUUCACAUGACAUGUUGUCAUGCCAAGUGGGAAUGUAGUAAUUCUAAAUACCUGGCAUAAAUGGUCAUGUGCGCCAAGCAAAUGACAAUUACAGGACUACGACACUGACACUCACAGGACUACGACACUGUAGAGGAGUUUUCCUAGUUGCAGCAGGCAAAGUUAACAAACUAACAGAACUUAAGGGGAGAGCUAGGGGUAGUUGUUUAUGUUGGGUCUAGCCUUCUCAGCACUUUUUAAAAUGGUAACAAAAUAUUGCCUCAUUCCUAAUAGAUUGGAAAGUUGGAAAAGAAGGGAUACCUCAUGAUGUACAUCUAUGCUCUUCCAACAACCUGCAAAUCAGGGAGGUCAACAAAGCAAUUGUUAACAAUGUCCAAGAAGUUAGUCACAGAAAGUGCUGGAGAGAGAGCAGAAGCUAAAAAAUCAUAUAAGCAUCCCAAGACUUCACCCAGGUUUGUAACACAGGAGAAAAAUGAAAGAAAACUUCUUAUGGAAAAAACAUUCAAUAGGUGAUAUUCAUCUUCAGAAAAGCACAUCUAGUUGUUACAUUUAUAUUUGAAAGAAGUAUACAAUUUAUGAACUGAUAAAACAUAUGCAGAAAAUGUAUAAGGUAGUCAUUUUUUGUUUAAAGAAUAACGAACAAUACAAAGGUGCAAUUCUUCACUUUCCCUGAAGUAUCCAUCUUAUUUGCAGUGCAUGGGAUUUAAAUGAGAACUGACAUUUGUAGUUUGAAGAGGCAUACCUCACUAGGGGCUAGGACAGUAGUGCACCUCUGCAUUUGGGGUUAUGGGAGAGGAGCACCUCCCCUUCUCACAAUACGAACAAGUUUUGCGAUGUGUGUCGUUAUAAUGAAUCUUGAUCCGUCCUCCAGUUUUGGUGCUGCACUUGUACAGCCGCUUGCAAACAGAGCAAAGCUUCUUCUUAUGAGUAGUGAGUAGGUGAGUGAGGAGUCUAUCCACAGUGGUGAGGCAGUCUUCACAGUAACCGGGACGGCUAAGAGUUAGGGGUCUAGCUCAAUAAACUCUGUAUAUGAAACAUUGUAAGUAGCUCAAUAAACUCUGUAUAUGAAACAUUGUAAGUAAGAUCUCAAAUAACCAUUGAAUAUUUUACUAGAUAGCCACGUAGUUUCUCAUUUGAAAGUAAUUUGAUAUUUGGAGCUGACAUUUAGAGUCUGUUGACCUGCAGAAACCUGCUGAUGUACGUUGAUAUUCUAUUCUAUCAGAUCAUAACGGAGAAAAUAGUAUUAGAGUACCUAGGUUGAUGUAGUAGUAUUCUAUUUUCAGUUGUACAUUAUAUAGGUGGAAAGAAAGGCCUAUUAAAACAAUCUGAUCAAUUUAUAUGAUAUUAUUUCUUCUCUUGUUUGUUCAA